GUGCUUAAUUCUAGCAAUUAAACUUCUCUCUUGUUUUGAACAAUUGUAUUCUCUACCCACUGGCAAAGUAGACUUGCUAUAAGUUGAACAAUAUUCCUUGAUUAUCACUUUAUGUAUAGCUUAUACUCUAAAUAAACAAAUUGUAUGCCAUCAACUAAGUAAAUAAAAUAAAAAUUUAAUUAAAAUCUUUAAGUUGCAGAUUAGGCUUUUCGCUAGAUUUUUCAGCUGCCUGAUCAAGUCUCUCUAUAUAUCACACAGUUUAAACUAAAAUCAACUCAACUCAGAAAUAAUCGCUCUGACUACCUUUUCACAUUUCCAAAAAAAAUUUAAAUUUUGUAUAGAAAUAGAUCUAGGAUUGACUAAGCAAGUUGUGAGCAGCUCAUCUGAUAGUCAUGCUAUGCCCAAGCAACGGAAUCCUUGACCAGAGAGCGGGUUGAGUGGGUGGCUGAGUUGGGUGUGCUUGGAGUGUUUGGGUGGUCAGUUUGCUGACGUUUGGGAUAAAGUCAAGCGGAUAAACAAGAGAUUAAAAUGUCAUAAACAAUGCCUUUUGAGCAUCCAGCUAAAACAACUUAAUGAAAGCUGCAGGUCACACGGGCAGAGCAAGAGCAGGAGCCAGGCCAGAGACGAAGCAGGAGCCGAAGCCGAAGGCAAGCGUAAAGUGUUACGUAAAACUAUUUUUGAGACUUGAAAGUUUUUGCAAACAAUCAACACGAAUACACAAACACAAACACACACAGAGACACUCACACAUACACAUAUACAUAUAUAACCAUCUAUCUUUAAUCCUUAUGUGAAGUGUGGAGGCAGCCACAGCACCAGCAGCAGCACCAACAGCUGCAACAAAAUGUGGCAGGAGGCGCAGUCAAUAAAUUUUCAUAAAACUUUUGAUUUGUAUUUAUGAGUUUUUUGGUGCGCUGGCAACUGUGGGAAUUCAAUUAAGUCGAUACGAUUUGUUCUUCUUGUUUGUUGUUUUUUUGUUUGUUGUUGUUUUAUGUAUUUAUUUAUAUUUUUGUUGGUAUGUUUGUAAAACAAUUGAAAAACUUUAUUGUGGGCGGGUUCGGGCAUACAUUAAUGAUUUAUAUUAUCAUACAAGGGCAUACGAUACAAUAAAUUUUCGCCUAAUGACAAAAUAAGGAUCGGGCUUAGCUUAAACAAAUUCCUGCACAUACAUUCACACAUACACACAUACACACGCAUAACUCAUACACACACACGCACACAAACA
Long non-coding RNA from Drosophila mojavensis, 1225 nucleotides. RefSeq lists it as uncharacterized. The record is from RefSeq and is a predicted model, not a curated record. NCBI's taxonomy places the organism in Eukaryota, Metazoa, Arthropoda, Insecta, Diptera, Drosophilidae. The transcript is spliced from 2 exons.